RNAcentral lists this ribosomal RNA (682 nucleotides) under uncultured bacterium. RNAcentral's name for it is "bacterial SSU rRNA". It matches the Rfam family "Bacterial small subunit ribosomal RNA", at positions 8 to 699 of the family's 1533-position model. The record is from RNAcentral.
AGAGUUUGAUCCUGGCUCAGAACGAACGCUGGCGGCGUGCUUAACACAUGCAAGUCGGACGAUGAAGCCGGGAGAGCUUGCUCUUCUGGUGGAUUAGUGGCGCACGGGUGAGUAACACGUGGGUAACCUGCCCUUGAGUGGGGGACAACAUCGGGAAACCGGUGCUAAUACCGCAUAAGCGCACGGAUUGUAAUAUCUGUGUGAAAAGGAUUUAUUCGCUUAAGGAUGGGCCCGCGCCCUAUCAGGUAGUUGGUGAGGUAAUGGCUCACCAAGCCUAUGACGGGUAGCCGGUCUGAGAGGAUGAACGGCCACACUGGAACUGAGACACGGUCCAGACUCCUACGGGAGGCAGCAGUGGGGAAUUUUGCGCAAUGGGGGAAACCCUGACGCAGCGACGCCGCGUGGAGGACGAAGGCCUUCGGGUUGUAAACUCCUUUUAUGAGGGAAGAUGAUGACGGUACCUCAUGAAUAAGCCACGGCUAACUCUGUGCCAGCAGCCGCGGUAAGACAGAGGUGGCAAGCGUUGUUCGGAAUCACUGGGCUUAAAGGGCGUGUAGGCGGUUUGGUAAGUCUGAAGUGGAAUCCCACGGCUCAACCGUGGAAUUGCUUUGGAAACUGCCUGACUUGAGUCAGCGAGGGGAUGGCGGAAUUCCUGGUGUAGCAGUGAAAUGCGUAGAUAUCA